RNAcentral lists this ribosomal RNA (497 nucleotides) under uncultured bacterium. RNAcentral describes it as "partial 16S ribosomal RNA". It matches the Rfam family "Bacterial small subunit ribosomal RNA", at positions 28 to 507 of the family's 1533-position model. The record is from RNAcentral.
GAUGAACGCUGGCGGCAUGCCUAAUACAUGCAAGUCGAGCGAACAGACGAGGAGCUUGCUCCUCUGACGUUAGCGGCGGACGGGUGAGUAACACGUGGAUAACCUACCUAUAAGACUGGGAUAACUUCGGGAAACCGGAGCUAAUACCGGAUAAUAUAUUGAACCGCAUGGUUCAAUAGUGAAAGACGGUUUUGCUGUCACUUAUAGAUGGAUCCGCGCCGCAUUAGCUAGUUGGUAAGGUAACGGCUUACCAAGGCAACGAUGCGUAGCCGACCUGAGAGGGUGAUCGGCCACACUGGAACUGAGACACGGUCCAGACUCCUACGGGAGGCAGCAGUAGGGAAUCUUCCGCAAUGGGCGAAAGCCUGACGGAGCAACGCCGCGUGAGUGAUGAAGGUCUUCGGAUCGUAAAACUCUGCUAUUAGGGAAGAACAAAUGUGUAAGUAACUAUGCACGUCUUGACGGUACCUAAUCAGAAAGCCACGGCUAACUACGUG